Long non-coding RNA from Oncorhynchus tshawytscha (Chinook salmon), 777 nucleotides. NCBI's taxonomy places the organism in Eukaryota, Metazoa, Chordata, Actinopteri, Salmoniformes, Salmonidae. The record is from Ensembl.
GAAGACUUGUCAUGGAGGAGUUGUCAUGGAGGAGUUGUCAUGGGAGAGUUGUCAUGAAGGAGUUGUCAUGGAGGAGUUGUCAUGGGGAGUUGUCAUGGAAGAGUUGUCAUGGAAGAGUUGUAAUGGUGGAGUUGUCAUGAAGGAGUUGUCAUGGGAGAGUUGUCAUGAAGGAGUUGUCAUGGUGGAGUUGUCAUGGAGGAGUUGUCAUGGGGAGUUGUCCUGGAAGAGUUGUCAUGGUGGAGUUGUCAUGAAGACUUGUCAUGGAGGAGUUGUCAUGGAGGAGUUGUCAUGGGGAAGUUGUCAUGAAGAGUUGCAUGGGAGAGUUGUAAUAGAGGAGUUCUCAUGAAGACUUGUUAUGAAGACUUGUCAUGGAGGAGUUGUCAUGGAGGAGUUGUCAUGAAGAGUUGCAUGGGAGAGUUGUAAUAGAGGAGUUGUUAUGAAGGAGUUGUCAUGGUGGAGUUGUCAUGGAAGAGUUGUCAUGAAGGAGUUGUCAUGGGGGAGUUUUCAUGGGGAGUUGUCAUGGAAGAGUUGUCAUGGAGGAGUUGUCAUGGAGGAGUUGUCAUGGAGGAUUUGUCAUGAAGAGUUGCAUGGGAGAGUUGUAAUAGAGGAGUUGACAUGGAGGAGUUGUCAUGAAGACUUGUCAUGAAGAGUUGUCAUGGAGGAGUUGUUAUGAAGGAGUUGUCAUGAAGGAGUUGUCAUGGGGGAGUUUUCAUGGGGAGUUGUCAUGGAUGAGUUGUCAUGGAGGAGUUGUCAUGGGAGAGUUGUCAUGAAGAGUUG